Molecule: transfer RNA, 72 nt
Filed under: Bracteacoccus aerius
Lineage: Eukaryota; Viridiplantae; Chlorophyta; Chlorophyceae; Sphaeropleales; Bracteacoccaceae
Description: tRNA-Lys
Rfam family: tRNA
About the family: Transfer RNA (tRNA) molecules are approximately 80 nucleotides in length. Their secondary structure includes four short double-helical elements and three loops (D, anti-codon, and T loops).
Source: RNAcentral
GGGUUUGUAGCUCAAUAGGUAGAGCAGUGGGCUUUUAACCUACUGGUUGUGGGUUCGAGUCCCACUAGACCC